UGAGGAAUAUUGGGCAAUGCCCGCAAGGGUGACCCAGCAACGCCGCGUGGAGGAUGAAUGUCGUAAGAUUGUAAACUCCUGUUAGAGGGGAAGAAUAGUACCGGUUGGACCGGUAUAUGACUGUACCCUCAGAGAAAGCCCCGGCUAACUACGUGCCAGCAGCCGCGGUAAUACGUAGGGGGCAAGCGUUGUCCGGAUUUACUGGGUGUAAAGGGCGCGCAGGCGGGAUAAAAAGUCAGUGGUGAAAUCCUACAGCUUAACUGUAGAACUGCCUUUGNUACUUUUAUUCUUGAGUUCGGGAGAGAGAGACGGAAUUCCAGGUGUAGUGGUGAAAUACGUAGAUAUCUGGAAGAACACCAGUGGCGAAGGCGGUCAACUGGCUCAUAACUGACGCUCAUGCACGAAAGCGUGGGGAGCAAACA
This 422-nucleotide ribosomal RNA is filed under the name uncultured bacterium. RNAcentral's name for it is "bacterial SSU rRNA". It matches the Rfam family "Bacterial small subunit ribosomal RNA", at positions 355 to 774 of the family's 1533-position model. The record is from RNAcentral.